AGUGAACGCUGGCGGUAGGCCUAACACAUGCAAGUCGAACGGCAGCACAGUAAGAGCUUGCUCUUACGGGUGGCGAGUGGCGGACGGGUGAGGAAUACAUCGGAAUCUACUUUUUCGUGGGGGAUAACGUAGGGAAACUUACGCUAAUACCGCAUACGACCUACGGGUGAAAGCAGGGGAUCUUCGGACCUUGCGCGAUUGAAUGAGCCGAUGUCGGAUUAGCUAGUUGGCGGGGUAAAGGCCCACCAAGGCGACGAUCCGUAGCUGGUCUGAGAGGAUGAUCAGCCACACUGGAACUGAGACACGGUCCAGACUCCUACGGGAGGCAGCAGUGGGGAAUAUUGGACAAUGGGCGCAAGCCUGAUCCAGCCAUACCACGUGGGUGAAGAAGGCCUUCGGGUUGUAAAGCCCUUUUGUUGGGAAAGAAAAGCAGCAGGUUAAUACCCCGCUGUUCUGACGGGACCCAAAGAAUAAGCACCGGCUAACUUCGU
Molecule: ribosomal RNA, 491 nt
Filed under: uncultured bacterium
Lineage: Bacteria
Description: partial 16S ribosomal RNA
Rfam family: Bacterial small subunit ribosomal RNA
Source: RNAcentral